GAGGAAUAAGCAUCGGCUAACUCCGUGCCAGCAGCCGCGGUAAUACGGGGGAUGCAAGCGUUAUCCGGAAUCAUUGGGCGUAAAGCGCCUGUAGGUUGUUUAAUAAGUCUGUUGUUAAAGACUAGGGCUUAACCCUAGAAAAGCAAUGGAAACUAAUAGACUAGAGUAUGGCAGGGGUAGAGGGAAUUUCUAGUGUAGCGGUGAAAUGCGUAGAUAUUAGAAAGAACACCAGUGGCGAAAGCGCUCUACUGGACCAUUACUGACACUCAGAGGCGAAAGCUAGGGUAGCAAAAGGGAUUAGAUACCCCUGUAGUCCUAGCCGUAAACGAUGGAUACUAGAUGUUGUGCUUCCGUACAGUGUCAUAGCUAACGCGUUAAGUAUCCCGCCUGGGGAGUACGCUCGCAAGGGUGAAACUCAAAGGAAUUGACGGGGGCCCGCACAAGCGGUGGAGCAUGUGGUUUAAUUCGAUGCAACGCGAAGAACCUUACCAGGGCUUGACAUACUACAAAUUCUUUAGAGAUAGAGAAGUGCCUUCGGGAAUGUAGAUACAGGUGGUGCAUGGCUGUCGUCAGCUCGUGUCGUGAGAUGUUGGGUUAAGUCCCGCAACGAGCGCAACCCUUAUUUUUAGUUACCAAUUCGUUGGGUUCUCUAGAAAGACUGCCGGUGACAAACCGGAGGAAGGUGAGGAUGACGUCAAGUCAGCAUGCCCCUUAUGUCCUGGGCUACACACGUGCUACAAUGGUUAAGACAAAGAGUCGCGAGCUCGCAAGAGUCAGCUAAUCUCAUAAACUUAGCCUAAGUUCAGAUUGUAGGCUGCAACUCGCCUACAUGAAG
RNAcentral lists this ribosomal RNA (835 nucleotides) under Haptophyta environmental samples. Its description in RNAcentral is "bacterial SSU rRNA". It matches the Rfam family "Bacterial small subunit ribosomal RNA", at positions 481 to 1325 of the family's 1533-position model. Lineage: Eukaryota; Haptophyta. The record is from RNAcentral.